RNAcentral lists this ribosomal RNA (468 nucleotides) under uncultured bacterium. Its description in RNAcentral is "partial 16S ribosomal RNA". It matches the Rfam family "Bacterial small subunit ribosomal RNA", at positions 28 to 507 of the family's 1533-position model. The record is from RNAcentral.
GACGAACGCUGGCGGCGUGCUUAACACAUGCAAGUCGAACGGAAAGGCCCUGCUUUUGUGGGGUGCUCGAGUGGCGAACGGGUGAGUAACACGUGAGUAACCUGCCCUUGACUUUGGGAUAACUUCAGGAAACUGGGGCUAAUACCGGAUAGGAGCUCCUGCUGCAUGGUGGGGGUUGGAAAGUUUCGGCGGUUGGGGAUGGACUCGCGGCUUAUCAGCUUGUUGGUGGGGUAGUGGCUUACCAAGGCUAUGACGGGUAGCCGGCCUGAGAGGGUGACCGGCCACACUGGGACUGAGAUACGGCCCAGACUCCUACGGGAGGCAGCAGUGGGGAAUAUGGCACAAUGGGCGGAAGCCUGAUGCAGCAACGCCGCGUGCGGGAUGACGGCCUUCGGGUUGUAAACCGCUUUCGCCUGUGACGAAGCGUGAGUGACGGUAAUGGGUAAAGAAGCACCGGCUAACUACGUG